GAUGAACGCUGGCGGCGUGCCUAAUACAUGCAAGUCGAGCGAACAGACGAGGAGCUUGCUUCUCUGACGUUAGCGGCGGACGGGUGAGUAACACGUGGAUAACCUACCUAUAAGACUGGGAUAACUUCGGGAAACCGGAGCUAAUACCGGAUAAUAUUUUGAACCGCAUGGUUCAAUAGUGAAAGACGGUUUUGCUGUCACUUAUAGAUGGAUCCGCGCCGCAUUAGCUAGUUGGUAAGGUAACGGCUUACCAAGGCAACGAUGCGUAGCCGACCUGAGAGGGGGAUCGGCCACACGGGAAUGGAGACACGGUCCAGACUCCAACGGGAGGCAGAAGUGGGGAAUCUUCCGCAAUGGGCGAAAGCUUGACGGAGCAACGCGGGGUGGGUGAUGAAGGUCUUCGGAUCGUAAAACUCUGUUAUUAGGGAAGAACAAAUGGGUAAGUAACUAUGCACGUCUGGAGGGUACCAAAUCAGAAAGCCACGGCUAACUACGU
Molecule: ribosomal RNA, 496 nt
Filed under: uncultured bacterium
Lineage: Bacteria
Description: partial 16S ribosomal RNA
Rfam family: Bacterial small subunit ribosomal RNA
Source: RNAcentral